Molecule: ribosomal RNA, 651 nt
Filed under: Erwinia sp. DH23
Lineage: Bacteria; Pseudomonadati; Pseudomonadota; Gammaproteobacteria; Enterobacterales; Erwiniaceae
Description: bacterial SSU rRNA
Rfam family: Bacterial small subunit ribosomal RNA
Source: RNAcentral
GGGGAUAACCACUGAAACGGUGGCUAAUACCGCAUAAUGUCGCAAGACCAAAGUGGGGGACCUUCGGGCCUCACACUACCGGAUGAACCCAGAUGGGAUUAGCUAGUUGGUGGGGUAACGGCUCACCAAGGCGACGAUCCCUAGCUGGUCUGAGAGGAUGACCAGCCACACUGGAACUGAGACACGGUCCAGACUCCUACGGGAGGCAGCAGUGGGGAAUAUUGCACAAUGGGCGCAAGCCUGAUGCAGCCAUGCCGCGUGUAUGAAGAAGGCCUUCGGGUUGUAAAGUACUUUCAGCGGGGAGGAAGGGAGUGAGGUUAAUAACUUCAUUCAUGGACGUUACCCGCAGAAGAAGCACCGGCUAACUCCGUGCCAGCAGCCGCGGUAAUACGGAGGGUGCAAGCGUUAAUCGGAAUUACUGGGCGUAAAGCGCACGCAGGCGGUCUGUUAAGUCAGAUGUGAAAUCCCCGGGCUCAACCCGGGAACUGCAUUUGAAACUGGCAGGCUUGAGUCUCGUAGAGGGGGGUGGAAUUCCAGGUGUAGCGGUGAAAUGCGUAGAGAUCUGGAGGAAUACCGGUGGCGAAGGCAGGCCACCCUGGACGAAGACUGACGCUCAGGUGCGAAAGCGUGGGGAGCAAACAGGAUUAGAUA